AUUUAUAUAAUUUAAGUAUUAAGAAUUUUGCGCUGAAGUUGCAAGAGUGAUGAUUAACAUCUAUAAGUG
This 69-nucleotide transfer RNA is filed under the name Metanephrops sibogae (Siboga lobster). Its description in RNAcentral is "tRNA-Phe". Lineage: Eukaryota; Metazoa; Arthropoda; Malacostraca; Decapoda; Nephropidae. The record is from RNAcentral.